GAAAUGCGAUACGUAAUGUGAAUUGCAGAAUUCAGUGAAUCAUCGAGUCUUUGAACGCACAUUGCGCCCCCUGGUAUUCCGGGGGGCAUGCCUGUCCGAGCGUCAUUGCUGCCCUCAAGCACGGCUUGUGUGUUGGGCCCCCGUCCCCCUGUUCUAGGGGGGGACGGGCCCGAAAGGCAGCGGCGGCACCGUGUCCGGUCCUCGAGCGUAUGGGAAGCAACUUUUUGUCACCCGCUCCUGUAGGUCCGGCCGGCGGCCUGCCCAACCCCCAUCAAUCUUUUUUUAACCAGGUUGACCUCGGAUCAGGUAGGGAUACCCGCUGAACUUAA
This 329-nucleotide unclassified non-coding RNA is filed under the name uncultured Aspergillus. Its description in RNAcentral is "sequence contains ITS1". The stretch from base 1 to 105 matches the Rfam family "5.8S ribosomal RNA", at positions 50 to 154 of the family's 154-position model. RNAcentral also lists the same sequence under 1 other name. The record is from RNAcentral. Lineage: Eukaryota; Fungi; Ascomycota; Eurotiomycetes; Eurotiales; Aspergillaceae.